GUGUCAGCAGCCGCGGUAAUACGUAGGUGGCAAGCGUUAUCCGGAAUUAUUGGGCGUAAAGCGCGCGUAGGCGGUUUUUUAAGUCUGAUGUGAAAGCCCACGGCUCAACCGUGGAGGGUCAUUGGAAACUGGAAAACUUGAGUGCAGAAGAGGAAAGUGGAAUUCCAUGUGUAGCGGUGAAAUGCGCAGAGAUAUGGAGGAACACCAGUGGCGAAGGCGACUUGCUGGUCUGUAACUGACGCUGAUGUGCGAAAGCGUGGGGAUCAAACAGGAUUAGAUACCCCCGUAGUCC
Molecule: ribosomal RNA, 292 nt
Filed under: uncultured Staphylococcus sp.
Lineage: Bacteria; Bacillati; Bacillota; Bacilli; Caryophanales; Staphylococcaceae
Description: partial 16S ribosomal RNA
Rfam family: Bacterial small subunit ribosomal RNA
Source: RNAcentral